GCUGAAUUUAAGCAUAUUAUUAAGCGGAGGAAAAGAAACUAACCAGGAUUCCCCUAGUAAGGGCGACUGAAGCGGGACCUGCUCAGGAUGUGAAUCUGCGCUUUGCGCUGAAUUGUGGUCUGUAGACAGUGGUGUUACUGGCCGGGCCAAGUCCCUUGGAAAAGGGCAGCUGAGAGGGUGAGACUCCCGUCCGCCCGGCUAGAUGAGCCGCUAGUCAACGAGUCGAGUUGUUUGGGAUUGCAGCUCUAAUUGGGUGGUAAAUUCCAUCUAAAGCUGAAUAUUGGUGGGAGACCGAUAGCGUACAAGUACCGUGAGGGAAAGAUGCAAAGAACUUUGAAAAGAGAGUUAAAGAGUACCUGAAAUUGCUGAAAGGGAAGCGAAGGAAACCAGUGUUAGACUUGUUAUACUUCCCUGGCCACUUGUGGCUUGGGCGCUGUGGCUGGUUUUGCGUCUUACUUGUUUGCGACUUUCAGAAGGGCGUCUAGGGAGUUGACCUGGAUUGCUAGUGUUAGUCUUGAAUGAGUGUGACGAAAUGGUUUUCUUUACCCCGUCUUGAAACACGGACCAAGGAGUCUAACAUAUGUGCGAGUACAGGGGUGGCAAACCCCCGUGCGGAAUGAAAGUGACAGUGGUUGGACAAUUUUUGCACAAUCCGCCGGCCUCAAUCCCUUGGGAGAAUGGUCUGAGUGUGAGCAUACAUGUUGGGACCCGAAAGAUGGUGAACUAUGCCUGAAUAGGGUGAAGCCAGGGGAAACUCUGGUGGAGGCUCGUAGCGAUUCUGACGUGCAAAUCGAUCGUCAAAUUUGGGUAUAGGGGCGAAAGACUAAUCGAACCAUCUAGUAGCUG
Molecule: ribosomal RNA, 846 nt
Filed under: Nitzschia sigmoidea
Lineage: Eukaryota; Bacillariophyta; Bacillariophyceae; Bacillariales; Bacillariaceae
Description: eukaryotic LSU rRNA
Rfam family: Eukaryotic large subunit ribosomal RNA
Source: RNAcentral